RNAcentral lists this ribosomal RNA (614 nucleotides) under uncultured bacterium. RNAcentral's name for it is "bacterial SSU rRNA". It matches the Rfam family "Bacterial small subunit ribosomal RNA", at positions 233 to 863 of the family's 1533-position model. The record is from RNAcentral.
GCGUCCCAUCAGCUAGUUGGUAAGGUAAUGGCUUACCAAGGCUAUGACGGGUAGGGGACCUGAGAGGGUGGCCCCCCACAAUGGAACUGAAACACGGUCCAUACACCUACGGGUGGCAGCAGUAGGGAAUAUCGGUAAUCUGGGAAACCGGGAACCAGCAACGCCGCGUGCGCGAUGAAGGCCUUCGGGUCGUAAAGCGCUUUUUGAAGGGAUGAGGAAGGACAGUACCUUCAGAAUAAGCCUCGGCUAACUACGUGCCAGCAGCCGCGGUAAAACGUAGGAGGCGAGCGCUAUCCGGAUUUACUGGGCGUAAAGCGUGUGUAGGCGGUUUGAUAAGUUGGAUGUGAAAGCUCCCGGCUCAACUGGGAGAGGUCGUUCAAAACUAUCAGACUCGAGAGUGGUAGAGGGAGGUGGAAUUCCGCGUGUAGUGGUGAAAUGCGUAGAUGUGCGGAGGAACACCAGUGGCGAAAGCGGCCUCCUGGCCCAUUUCUGACGCUCAGACACGAAAGCUAAGGUAGCAAACGGGAUUAGAGACCCCGGUAGUCUUAGCUGUAAACGAUGUGAACUUAGUGUCGGUGGGGUUAAAUCCAUCGGUACUGAAGCUAACGCGAUAA